CUGGGUGAGUUCACUUGAAUGAAUUUAGCUCUAUCGUUUCUUUAACUAUACAGGAAAUUUUAACAAAAUCUUAAUCAACACAUCAUGGGCUUCAAAAGGGUGUCUCAAAUUGUCCCUAUGAGGUUCCAUUCUCUCAUAAAUCUCUAAUUAGUGUAAACAUCCUAACCACAUAAAAGAGGAUAAUGUUUGAUUAGGUGUAAAAUUUGUUCUAUACAUUCUAUCUGAAAUCUGAGACACCCUUUUGUAGAUAAUGGCCAUUGGAACAACAUAUCAUAAAAUCAACC
This 284-nucleotide long non-coding RNA is filed under the name Mytilus galloprovincialis (Mediterranean mussel). Lineage: Eukaryota; Metazoa; Mollusca; Bivalvia; Mytilida; Mytilidae. The record is from RNAcentral.